CAUUAUCGUACAGUGGGGGUACCAGGGUUGUCGCUGACUUUUCGUCGUGCACACCCGAGUGCUCUCAUAUACAAAUAUCCAUCUCACCCCUUUGUGCAUCACCGCGUGCGUCCCCCCUUCCUCGGAGGGGGGUGCUCACGUUUUUAACAUAAAACACCCUAGUGUAGAAUGUUCUUUGCGCGAUCACGCGCGAAUCAAUACAACUUUCAACAACGGAUCUCUUGGCUCUCGCAUCGAUGAAGAACGCAGCGAAAUGCGAUACGUAAUGUGAAUUGCAGAAUUCAGUGAAUCAUCGAAUCUUUGAACGCACCUUGCGCCCCUUGGCAUUCCGAGGGGCACACCCGUUUGAGUGUCGUGAACAUCCUCAACCUGCUUCGUUCUAUCGAACCAAGUAGGCUUGGAAUUUGGAGGUUUUUCUGCUGGCUUUCCUCUCUGAAGCCAGCUCCUCUUAAAUCUAUCAGUGGGAUCCGCUUUGCUAGAUCCUCGACGUUGAUAAGAUGUUUCUACGUCUUGGCUUUCGCUCGGGAAGGACCUGCUUCUAACCGUCCCCAUCGGGGACAAUGUUCGAGAGCCGAUCGCCCUUCACGGGGUGGGAAGCUUUUCGACCCAUGAAACCUUGACCUCAAAUCGGGUGAGACUACCC
Molecule: ribosomal RNA, 643 nt
Filed under: uncultured Basidiomycota
Lineage: Eukaryota; Fungi; Basidiomycota
Description: eukaryotic LSU rRNA
Rfam family: 5.8S ribosomal RNA (bases 202-355)
Source: RNAcentral